UCACCCCUCAAGUCUGACUUGGUGUUGGUGGAUUGUUAGCGAGAGACAGUUCUGUCUCUGUGCUCCACUGAAAGAUAAUGACCGGGUUGUAGAUUCCAACACUAGGUACAGUGAGCUGAUUGAUUUUGGCACGUACUUGAGUAGUGGUCACGGACCCGUCCCGGGACAAUGACUUUUGGUCGUUUCCCACCCCAACUUUUUGAA
This 204-nucleotide unclassified non-coding RNA is filed under the name uncultured Herpotrichiellaceae. RNAcentral's name for it is "sequence contains ITS2". Lineage: Eukaryota; Fungi; Ascomycota; Eurotiomycetes; Chaetothyriales; Herpotrichiellaceae. The record is from RNAcentral.